GACGAACCGUGCGAACGUUAUUCGGAAUCACUGGGCUUAAAGGGCGCGUAGGCGGGUCAUCAAGUCCGGGGUGAAAGCCCACGGCCCAACCGUGGAAGUGCCUUGGAUACUGAAGACCUCGAGGGGGAUAGGGGCGUGCGGAACUCAGGGUGGAGCGGUGAAAUGCGUAGAUAUCUGGAGGAACACCGGUGGCGAAAGCGACUCACUGGACCGACACUGACGCUGAGGUGCGAAAGCUAGGGUAGCAAACGGG
Molecule: ribosomal RNA, 253 nt
Filed under: uncultured bacterium
Lineage: Bacteria
Description: partial 16S ribosomal RNA
Rfam family: Bacterial small subunit ribosomal RNA
Source: RNAcentral